CCAAAGGCUCUUUUCAGAGCCAACAAUUUUUCUUGUAAGGUGCUGU
Oryctolagus cuniculus (rabbit) is the source of this 46-nucleotide regulatory RNA element. It matches the Rfam family "Histone 3' UTR stem-loop". Rfam says of the family: The mRNAs of metazoan histone genes lack a poly-A tail. 3' end processing occurs at a site between a highly conserved stem-loop (modelled by this family) and a purine rich region around 20 nts downstream (the histone downstream element, or HDE). Lineage: Eukaryota; Metazoa; Chordata; Mammalia; Lagomorpha; Leporidae. The record is from Rfam.